CGAAGGGGGCGAGCGUUGUUCGGAUUUACUGGGCGUAAAGGGCGCGCAGGCGGCGGACCAAGUCAGGCGUGAAAGCCCCGGGCUUAACCUGGGAACUGCGUCUGGGACUGGUUUGCUAGAGUUCGGGAGAGGAGAGUGGAAUUCCCAGUGUAGGGGUGAAAUUCGUAGAUAUUGGGAAGAACACCGGUGGCGAAGGCGGCUCUCUGGACCGAGACUGACGCUGAGGCGCGAAAGCGUGGGGAGCAAACAGGAUUAGAUACCCUGGUAGUCCACGCUGUAAACGAUGUGUGCUAGACGUUGGGGAGCCUAGCUCUUCGGUGUCGCAGCUAACGCGGUAAGCACACCGCCUGGGGAGUACGGCCGCAAGGUUA
This 371-nucleotide ribosomal RNA is filed under the name uncultured organism. Its description in RNAcentral is "bacterial SSU rRNA". It matches the Rfam family "Bacterial small subunit ribosomal RNA", at positions 526 to 896 of the family's 1533-position model. The record is from RNAcentral.